RNAcentral lists this unclassified non-coding RNA (309 nucleotides) under plant metagenome. RNAcentral's name for it is "partial contains 5.8S ribosomal RNA, internal transcribed spacer 2, and large subunit ribosomal RNA". The stretch from base 1 to 105 matches the Rfam family "5.8S ribosomal RNA", at positions 50 to 154 of the family's 154-position model. The record is from RNAcentral.
GAAAUGCGAUAAGUAGUGUGAAUUGCAGAAUUCAGUGAAUCAUCGAAUCUUUGAACGCACAUUGCGCCCCUUGGUAUUCCAUGGGGCAUGCCUGUUCGAGCGUCAUUUGUACCCUCAAGCUCUGCUUGGUGUUGGGUGUUUGUCCCGUCUCCGCGCGUGGACUCGCCCCAAAGUGAUUGGCAGCCGGCGUACUGGUCCGGGAGCGCAGCACAUGUCGCGCAAACGAGUGCCUUGGUACGGCGGCGUCCAUAAGCCCCUCUCUCACGCUCUUGACCUCGGAUCAGGUAGGGAUACCCGCUGAACUUAAGC